CAUGAUUGGGAAAACCAGGAUUGUUUAGAGGGUAGAUGCAGUCGCCCCAACUCCGACAAAUACAUGCGAAUUUACUUUCAAUGUAUUGGUAAGGCGAGAAACAACUAUUUGGUUGGAAACUUUAAUCUUGCUAAGAAAUUAAAGAACUGC
This 150-nucleotide non-coding RNA is filed under the name unclassified sequences. Its description in RNAcentral is "IS605-orfB-II RNA". It matches the Rfam family "IS605-orfB-II RNA". The record is from Rfam by way of RNAcentral.